UCCACCGCCACCGCCACCGCCACCGCCAUGCGGAGGCGUUGGCGGCGUCCCACCAUAUGACGGCGCGCCACCGUGCGACGGCGUCGGGCAAUUGGAGGGAGUGCUUGGUGGUGAAUCUGCACCAUAUCAACAACAUUACUAGACAGAGGUACGCAAUUGUUUCAUAGCAACUAAUCAACCAAGAGAGAGGCCCUUUGUGGCCCCACUUUUGAGAUGUGGUUUGGACCAUCACUACAGUAAUAACCCGCUUCGGGUUUGCUUUUUUGCAAUGUGGUGCGACUUGACACCAUGCUUGGAGUUUAUAUAUGCACACCGCAAUGCAGUGUGUUUGUAGUUUGAAAUUCAUUACUGAGCCAAAGAGGCCCUGGGAGAAAGAUAGAGAGAGAGAGAGAAAUAGUACUUACGACUAUGGUGGUGGGGAUCAGGAGGGUAGUAGUUUUUCUGUUCGGUGAAACCCCCUAGUUUCCUAGCCAUUACCGGGGAUACAACUCCAUUAGAAACCAACCCCAGUAAGAGAAAACACAUGAGAAGAGCCAUUCUCUUCUGACCCUCCGCCUCUUUACCUUUAACCCAAACUCAAAACUCACUAGAAACUUGAGAGAGAAAUAGGUGGUACAUAUAUAUAUAGAUACUGAGGGAGUAUAGGUGUUGUGUACUACUCACCACCACCUAUAUACACAAGUAAGAGAUAAGAGAUAAAUUAUAUUGAAUUCACAGCACUGCAACAAAAGACAUAAAUGCAUGCAGAGAAAGACCAAGUAGUUAGUUGAAAACUUGCAGGUGCAUUUAUAAGUUGUAAAUUUUGUGGUACAAACCCAGGAAAAAGUGGGGGACUAUUGUAGAGGGGAGGUAAAGUGAUCUAAUUUGCGUAACCUUAGAUUUGGAAAAGAUUUUUCUUCUUAAAUGAAUGCGAUGUCCUCAUUUAGGCUUCUAUAGGAUACAUGGGGCUGUUUCUAGCAACAAAGAUAUGGUAUGGGUAAGUUUGAGUAUACACAAGUGAAAUGCUUAUUUGGAUAGGUAAUUAAGAUAUGCAAUGAAGGAACUUAUUUUCACUGUUUCAGGAGAAAUUCUUAGUUUCCUAGACCCAGUCCAUGGUCUAGCACUCCUAAUUUUGUUUAAACUGUUGGAUGUGAUCUACAUCACCUGAAAUUUUCAUACCGUAAAAAUUGUAAUUUUGGAAAUCAUACUUAUCAAUUAUCAUUUAACCAACAAGAGCUCUCUUUUUUUCCCUUUCUUUUUGAGAAUUUGGAUUUUGGUCCUUUGCAUGGCAACUGCAACUUAAAUGUAAGAAUCCCUAAUAUCGACCGGGUUUGGCAUCAACAAUAGCUCUUUUAGCUCCAUGAUCUUUAGGACUACUAAAUGUCUCAGCAGUAGGUUUUCAAAGCUUCUGCUUUUUCAUAGCAAGUUGUUUAGAUCUUGUAGAUCACAUCUAAUGGAGACUUGACAUUUUGAUUCUGAAGUCUCUAGGGUCAAAAUUUAUGGACCAGUUUUGGAAUGAUGUGGUGGACUAGGUCCAUGCAAUAUUUUCUUUCUAAUUUCAGGGCUUUUUUUUUUUUCCAUUGUCAGUGCUUCAAUUUAAUGAGGACAGCGAGUCUUCAAAAGAGUGUCAUAAGUAUUUGGACUACAUAUAAUGUGUUCAACUACCUCAUGCCUCCCUGGGCAUUUAGAUAUUGCAUAGUACAGUAACAUUAGUGUCUUAUUAACUACUGUUCACAGUCCCAGGCAAUUGCAUUUAAAGGCUGUAAACUAACUAGGGCAUUCCAUGCUAGUAAAGAGUAGGAUGUGCCAUGCACAAGAAGAGAGAGGUUAAUGAAGAACUUUUUGUGGUUCUUGGCUUUUCAAUUUGACCAGAUGGUGUGUAACUUGUUAGCUUGUACUUGUACAUUAGGUCAUAAUCAUUUGAUUCAUUGGUUUGUUCUCAGUGGUAGUGCAUUUCUCCUCUUUUUCAUGAGUAAGCUGAUAUAUGUGUAUUCUCUUUGUGGGCUAGGCAAGUUGAGUCUCAUUUUGGCUCGAGCGAGAACAUGGUCACAUCUCCUGUCCAUUUUCGGUCGGACGCCCGUGCAUGCUUCUAAGCAGGAUAGAACUAGCAACCUCUCCCUCGCAGAAGAGGCGCCCUACCAACCAGACUAUCAGGUGGUGGUGAUAUAUUUUUGCUUCGUAAGUUGUUAUUGGGGUUUGGUAUAUGUAACCUGGGGGUGCAUUUCACGUGUCUCACCUCAUGCAAUGUGCUCGGCUUGUUCAUAACUGGACCGGGCCCAACGUGGGCCCAGUCGAUGGUGACCUAUUAUUAACGCCAAGUACGGGUGGCGAAGGCCUUGUCCACUUGAUGGUCCCUCAAGGCCCAAAUGAAACUAGGUUCGGAACCGGAUUUGGUCCGUUACCCUCCGACACGAUCGAGGUUGCGACUGAAUUGAAUUCGGCGAGUGACGACCGAAUCCAAUGAUUUUGCUUAUUCUGAGAGUAAGUUAUUUACAUCUCUUUUUUGUGUGUGUGUUUUCGCUUAAACACACGAUACAAAGCCACACAAAUUCGAUUAGUUUCGGACUCAAUGUCCACAGAUAAACCCAAAAACCUAGUAGUUGAACCCAAAUCAAACCAAGGUGCUGUUGGGUGAACCAUCGGAUUUAUGGGUUUUACCUAAAACCCUAACGCGCAUGAUCGUAACUACAAAAACAUGUGUAUUUAAGCCCACGUUGCAUGAGAAAAAAGACUAAGCAUCUCUUUGUCGUUCUAUCCCUGUAUUAAGUUUGCGUGAUUGGGAUUACAAUGUAAGGAAGUCGCGUAUGAUAAAAGUGUUUCGAGUGACCGACCGUUCCUAGCAUAAGUGGAAAAGAGGAUGAAUAGCAUAAGUAGAAAAGAGGUUGAUAAUUGUUAUUCGAAAUUUCAGAUUCAAAGAUCAGUUGUUUUACAUUUUUAGUUAAGUUCAUUAAAUAAAAAAAAAGAAGAAGAAGAACAGGACAGGAGUGUGCUGUUAUUUUCUCUCAAAAAAUAAGAUAAAAUAUAGAGAAUUUACUUGAACUAUAGAUUAUUAUUUUGAAUUAACUAUUUAAUCUUUUUAAAUUUUGAUUUUACUAUCAAAUUUUUCAAUUUGUUUAGUUUGAGUCAGUCGGCGAUACUUUACUUUUAAAUUUUAUAUUACUUAGUUUAAUUAAUUUAUAGUUGUGAGAAUUACAUAUAAUAUACAAACUAAACAUGCAAAGAUAAACGAUGUAUUUAAAUUUUAAAACUAAAAUAUCGUUGACCGAUUCAAAUCAAAUAAGUCAAAAUUAUCUAUAAUUUAGAUGAGUUCUGUACGAUUUUACCAAAAAGCUAAUAAU
This 3317-nucleotide long non-coding RNA is filed under the name Ananas comosus (pineapple). RNAcentral describes it as "long non-coding RNA (ACOM_LNC024913)". The record is from RNAcentral. Lineage: Eukaryota; Viridiplantae; Streptophyta; Magnoliopsida; Poales; Bromeliaceae.